UUUAAUUUUAUCCGUUAUUACAAUAUCAAAAAGACAUUUAUCUAGAAUUCUGGGCCGUAUAACAAACGGGUUCCAAGGAAGUGUUUGGUACAUCCAAGCUUCAGAAUAUCAUCGACUCCAUUGGAGACCCAGAUGAACAGAGUCUUUCAUAGAAAGAGAUGGAAGCUCCCAAUAAGUUACCAAUGCCCAAAGGAGGGGCAUGUUUCCAGAUUGUAUAGAGAGCAAUCGAUCCCAUUUAAUUCUAUCUACACAUCACCAAAUCUUGCGGCAACAAAAUCACAGCAUCUCAGAUGAUUCUGUUUCCAAGUGGCAAUAUGCUCCUAAGCAGGGAGCGAAAGAAAUGCCAUACAAACUAAAAUUUGGAUUAAGUUGUUUACUUGAAACCAUUAUCACUCUUUCAAUUCUACUCCAAGCUCUGAGCUCAAUUUACAGUAUAGCAUUGCCAUUCUUUCUGUUCCGUGCACGGCUCAGAGUAGGCAGAGCUGAAGAAAAAUCACCAUAAAAUAGAAGAACACUCUCAAAACGGCCUUGAAGAUCAAAUCCCACACCAGACGCUACCUUUCACUUUACUUCCACUAGAUGGAAUCGGUGCCUCACUACAGAAAACAGGUUCUGAAGCAAACCAGAGAGAGCUAGCUAGACAUAUUUCCUCGAAGCACUACCCUUAUCCCAUUUGAAAUUCUUUCUUCACUCAACUUGAUUUACUAAUAUUGGCCAAAUUCAAAAGGUUAACAACACCCCUCUUCGGAAAAACUCAAAGAUUAAUAGCGAAAUGUAGAAUGGGAACCGUGAGUGGAACCUUGAC
RNAcentral lists this long non-coding RNA (805 nucleotides) under Populus tremula. RNAcentral's name for it is "long non-coding RNA (PTRE_LNC002480)". The record is from RNAcentral. Lineage: Eukaryota; Viridiplantae; Streptophyta; Magnoliopsida; Malpighiales; Salicaceae.